AGGGUUUGCCUUGUCACCAUUUCCGCGCCGGAAGGAUGGAUGAUCCAACUGAAAUUCACCACCUUCAAUUUGGAGACGGACAAAGCCAUUGUUGUUGUUGACGAUGGUCGGAAUGACUUAUUGCCUCCAACAACCGGCGACACAAUUCCUGCCCUAGUGCCCACAACAACCGACUCGAUGGUCAUCGCGGCUUUGGAUGCGCUGACAGUUCUAAACCCAGCACGGCCAUAUACAACUGGCAGGCGACUUUCUCUGUCUCGAGCCAAGGGAGUUCUUGUUCCGUUCUUGAUCCAGCCUGCGGAUCUAUGUGCACCAAUGUGACGUCAAACGGAACUGGUGUCGUCCAGUCUCCCAACUUCCCUGGCGACUACGGGAAUGAUAACAGGGAUUGUACAGUCACCAUUGUCGUGCCAGCAGGAAAGAGAAUCCAGUUGACAUUCACUACUGUCAAUUUGGCGAGUGGUGACCGUAUCGCUGUUUACGACAGAAGCACAAUUCUAUCGCCCUUUUUAUCCGGCAACGAAAUUCCUGCAGUAGACGUCUCAACCGCAAACAUCAUGUAUCUGCAGUUUGUUGCCGAUGGCAGUACUAAACCCACCACCGCAACUUACAAUUGGCGGGCGACUUACACUGCUGUGUGACGGGUGAUGCAACGAAAACAACAACGACGAGAAAAUAAAUGGCUUUGCUUCUCGUUUGAUCGACGCGAAUCUAAAGUCAUAAUUCAACCAACUAUUUACAGAUUAUUAACAAACUUCCUUCAACUGUAGUCACAACACUAAUCAGCAUAAUUCCGUUAUCGACACUCGCUGUGCUUUAUUAACACAUAGCGAAGUGAUUUCAAAUAUUUUUCAACUGUUUUAUUAUCAAUUGGCAAAAAUUU
Molecule: long non-coding RNA, 883 nt
Organism: Daphnia pulicaria
Lineage: Eukaryota; Metazoa; Arthropoda; Branchiopoda; Diplostraca; Daphniidae
Exons: 6
Source: RefSeq, a predicted model, not a curated record